ACCUUCUAUAUUACUAUGAUAAUGUUAAAGCUAGGUUGACACGAUCAGAGUUCACUCGGAGAUGAACUCGGUCCGAGAGUACUCGGACAGAGUUUUAAGUUCGUUUACACGUUCCGAGUGUACUCGGUCUGUAAUCUGAGGUGAAAUGGCGGAUCCCGUGCUUGGAGAGCUUGAUGUUGUGGCUGAUAUGCUGUUGCAGGGGCUGGACAGUCGUAUUAAUAAUCAGAAUAGACGAAAAAUAUAGUCAGAAUAUACGAAAAAAGAGGAACGAGGAACGAGACGAAAAGAGGAAGAGGAGAUACUCGGACCGAGUCUGCCUCUCAGUCCGAGUAUUUUGGUUGUCGUCCGAGUUUACUCUACUCGGAAAAAACGGUCCGAGUAGCGUCCGAGUGGAUGCGCGCGCAUCGUCCGAGUGAACUCGAUCCGAAUGUACUCUGAUCGUGUCAACCUAGCUUU
Molecule: long non-coding RNA, 456 nt
Filed under: Androctonus crassicauda
Lineage: Eukaryota; Metazoa; Arthropoda; Arachnida; Scorpiones; Buthidae
Source: RNAcentral